RNAcentral lists this long non-coding RNA (3189 nucleotides) under Sus scrofa (pig). RNAcentral's name for it is "lncRNA (ENSSSCG00005036540.1)". The record is from RNAcentral. Lineage: Eukaryota; Metazoa; Chordata; Mammalia; Artiodactyla; Suidae.
UUCCAACUCUGUGACCUGUUGCAUGUUACUUGAGUUCUCUGAGCUUUAAUUAUCCCACAUGUGUGUGAUGGAGAUGCUGUCAUGCCCAAUUUUAUAGGGUUGUUGUUAGAACUUAAUAAAUUAAUCCAUGUAAAGUACUUUUUACAAAGCCUGAUAACAAUCAGUGCUCAAUAAUGGUUAAUUAUCAUAUUUUAUGGUGCAUACAUAAAAUGUGUGAGCAUAGAGUUCGUAUUUUUCUGUGUUUUCAUCUGGUUUUAGAAAUAAAUGUAAUCGAGAAAGAUAGGGCUUGAUCUUUGAUGUGUUGGUGUUAUUGAGCUGUUCUUUUACUUUGUUCAGCUUGGAAAGAUGGCUUUAAUUGGUGCUUUUCCCUUUAGGGAAACUUAUGGUUUUCUUUAUUAAGUAACUGGCUUAGACGAUAUUAUAGUCUCCCUAGGUUUUAGAAUGUAAUUAAGAGCAAAAUCAGGCCAAGGAAACCACAUUUUAAAAUUCUGUGAUAUCAUUUUAGUUGUACAAACUUUAAUGUAAUAAAAUACUUCCUGGGGUGAACCUGAGUAGCAGAUGCACAAAUUCUUUAACCUUUAAUUUGUUGGGAGAUUAACAAGCCACAUAGUUUCUCUGCCUGUAUUUCAUCAAAGCAGAGGUAAUACCGUAAUGUCAGACCUUCUAAUUUUCAUGACUAUUACAGGCCUGCAGNNNNNNNNNNNNNNNNNNNNNNNNNNNNNNNNNNNNCUUUAAUGACAACAGAGCUUUCAAAUUGUUGGUAUUAAUUUUUAAAAAGUCUUUAAGUUAUUUCAAAGAGGUGAUAUCAAGAUGAUUUUUUUCCAGAUGACCCCAGGGAAUCUGAGUCCUGCCUUUGACCAGUAAGAGAAAGGGACAUUUUAUUACUAGCUCUCAUGUUGGUAGCCUUUUUUAUCUGAGAACACUAGUUGCUAUAACAAAUACAUUUGAAAGGACCCAGACUAAUGGAAGCGCUACCAUUUUCUACACACGGCUUCCAAGGUCCCCUGAGGCGGCAAGUGGGGGAUCUUGUGGGAGUGGCUGAUGGGCCAGACUUGGAAAUGGCUUAAUCACUUAGCCCUAUUCCGUUGCCAGAAUUGAGUCACAAGGCCCAGCGUAGCUGCUGGAGGGCAGGUCUUUUCGAUUGUGCCCAGGGGGGAGGUUUGGUCACUAUCCAGCUAGUCCGCAGCCCUCCAACCCUGACACAGUCCACACUAGGACUGUGUUGGAAAUCCUCUUAUUUUGGGUGUAGAUCACCUAGAACCUUCAUUCUUUAGAGGCCCACAGAGUUUGGGGUAGUUAGUCACUGUUUUGAAUGCAUGUAAAGGCCUUUUCCCAGGAAGACCUAGGAGAUCUGGAAAAGCUUGUUUUCCUCUGUCCAUGGCAGACCCCGCUCUCGCAGGUCCUGGUGGCCGGUGAGAGCUGUCUGUAGGAGUUUCUCUCUUUGUCAGUCCAGCCUGUGGAAGAGGAAAAAAGCCACAAGGAAGCCCAGAGAAGCCAGAGAGGAAGGUGACUGGGUUUUAGCUCUUCUUACCUUAUUUUAUUUUUGACUGCACCUGCAGCAUGUGGACGUUUCUGGGCCAAGGACUGAACCCUUGCCACAGCAGUAAUGACUCCCAAUCCUUUAUUGGCUGUGCCACAAGAGAACUCCUUGUUCUCACUUUAGUAGGCUUCUGGAAGGAAGUAUGGCCCUAGAAAGCCUACCUCUAUAUAUGCUUCGACUUCUUAAAUUAUGGUAAAAUACAUUUAACAUAAAAUUUACAGUUAGUGACAUUCAGUGCAUUCGGAUGUACAACCUUCCCCACCACCUAAUUCCAGAACAUUUUCAUCACUCCAGAAGUCGCUCCCCAUUUCCUCCUUCCCCUGGUCCCUGGCAACCGCUAACCUGUUUUCUGUCUCUAUGGACUGUGGACAUUUCAUAUAAAUGAAAUCGUAUGAUAUGCAGCCUUUUAUGUCUGGCUUCUUUCGUACAUGUUUUUGAGAUCUGUUCACAGUGUAGCGUGUAUCAUCAUAUAUCAUUCCUUUUUAUGGUUGAGUAGUAUUCCAUUAUAUGGAUAUACAGCAUUUUGUUUAUUCAACUGGUGGACAUUUGGGUUCUUUCUACCUUUUGGAGAUUGCGAUAGUGCUGCUAUGAACAUAAGUUUUGUUUGUACACCUGUUUUUCAGUUUUUUUGUUUCUGUAUACAGGAGUGGAAUUGCUGGGUCAUAUGAUAAUACUCUGUUGAACUUACUGAGGAAUUGACAAACUGUUUUCCACCAUGAGUACCAUUCUGACAUUCCCACCGGCAAUUUACAGGCUUCCAGCUGUCCCUUACCUGGCUAACACUUGUUAUUUGCCAAUUUAAAAAAAUGUGGUCAUUCUACUGGAUGUAAAUGACAUCUCUUUGUGUUUUUUAUUUGCAUUUCCCUGUAGGUUAAUGAUGUUGAGCAUCUUUUUAUAUGGUUGUUGACCAUUUGCAUAUCUUCUUCCUAGAAAUGUCUAUUCCAACCCUUUGCCUUUUUUUUUCCUUUCAAUUGCAAAUAAGAUUCUACAGGUUCUGAUUUUCCCAUCAAGGGGCAGGGCUCAAGUCAUCCCUAGGAGAGAAUCCUUUGCCAAUUUUUAAAUUGGGUUGCUUAUUGUUGAAUUGUAACAGUUCUGUAUUUAUUCUGAAUGCUGGAUUCUUAUCAGAAUGAUUUGCAUAUAUUUUUUCCCAUUCAGUGGAUUGUCUUUCACUUUCUUUGAUAUACACAUUUAAAAAUUUUUGAUGAAAUACAGUUUACCUGUAUUUUUUGUUUGUUGCUUGUGAUUUCUCUUACCUAAGAAACCGUUGCUAAAUCCAUGAACAUUUACUCAUUUUUUUUUUUUAACCGUUUAAUGGUUUUAGCCUUUGUAUUUAGGUGUUUUAUCCUUUUUGAGCUAAUUUUAGUAUCUAAUGUGACGUGAGAGUAAUUUAUGCUUUUGCAUGUAAGCAUCCUGUUGUCCUUUUUCAAGGUCCUCCAGGUGGUAAGUGAUAGAGCCCAAAAGAGCCUUGGCUCUAGAGCCUGUGCUCUUAAAACAUUGAAGAUGCUUUGGAGUUCCCUGCUGGCUCAGCAGGUAAGGAUCUGGCAUUGUCACUGCUGCAGCUUAGGUCACUGCUGUGGCAUGGUUCGGAGUUGGCCUUGGAAUUUUUGUAUGCUGCCAGCACAGCCAAAAAAAAAAAAAAAAAAAAAAAA